CUGGUAUUGAUUGGUGCUUGCAUCAUGAUUUACAUUUGAGUGAGUGGCGAACUGGUGAGUAACACGUGGGAAACCUGCCCAGAAGCGGGGGAUAACACCUGGAAACAGAUGCUAAUACCGCAUAACAACUUGGACCGCAUGGUCCGAGUUUGAAAGAUGGCUUCGGCUAUCACUUUUGGAUGGUCCCGCGGCGUAUUAGCUAGAUGGUGGGGUAACGGCUCACCAUGGCAAUGAUACGUAGCCGACCUGAGAGGGUAAUCGGCCACAUUGGGACUGAGACACGGCCCAAACUCCUACGGGAGGCAGCAGUAGGGAAUCUUCCACAAUGGACGAAAGUCUGAUGGAGCAACGCCGCGUGAGUGAAGAAGGGUUUCGGCUCGUAAAACUCUGUUGUUAAAGAAGAACAUAUCUGAGAGUAACUGUUCAGGUAUUGACGGUAUUUAACCAGAAAGCCACGGCUAACUACGUGCCAGCAGCCGCGGUAAUACGUAGGUGGCAAGCGUUGUCCGGAUUUAUUGGGCGUAAAGCGAGCGCAGGCGGUUUUUUAAGUCUGAUGUGAAAGCCUUCGGCUCAACCGAAGAAGUGCAUCGGAAACUGGGAAACUUGAGUGCAGAAGAGGACAGUGGAACUCCAUGUGUAGCGGUGAAAUGCGUAGAUAUAUGGAAGAACACCAGUGGCGAAGGCGGCUGUCUGGUCUGUAACUGACGCUGAGGCUCGAAAGUAUGGGUAGCAAACAGGAUUAGAUACCCUGGUAGUCCAUACCGUAAACGAUGAAUGCUAAGUGUUGGAGGGUUUCCGCCCUUCAGUGCUGCAGCUAACGCAUUAAGCAUUCCGCCUGGGGAGUACGGCCGCAAGGCUGAAACUCAAAGGAAUUGACGGGGGCCCGCACAAGCGGUGGAGCAUGUGGUUUAAUUCGAAGCUACGCGAAGAACCUUACCAGGUCUUGACAUACUAUGCAAAUCUAAGAGAUUAGACGUUCCCUUCGGGGACAUGGAUACAGGUGGUGCAUGGUUGUCGUCAGCUCGUGUCGUGAGAUGUUGGGUUAAGUCCCGCAACGAGCGCAACCCUUAUUAUCAGUUGCCAGCAUUAAGUUGGGCACUCUGGUGAGACUGCCGGUGACAAACCGGAGGAAGGUGGGGAUGACGUCAAAUCAUCAUGCCCCUUAUGACCUGGGCUACACACGUGCUACAAUGGAUGGUACAACGAGUUGCGAACUCGCGAGAGUAAGCUAAUCUCUUAAAGCCAUUCUCAGUUCGGAUUGUAGGCUGCAACUCGCCUACAUGAAGUCGGAAUCGCUAGUAAUCGCGGAUCAGCAUGCCGCGGUGAAUACGUUCCCGGGCCUUGUACACACCGCCCGUCACACCAUGAGAGUUUGUAACACCCAAAGUCGGUGGGGUAA
RNAcentral lists this ribosomal RNA (1399 nucleotides) under Lactiplantibacillus plantarum. Its description in RNAcentral is "bacterial SSU rRNA". It matches the Rfam family "Bacterial small subunit ribosomal RNA", at positions 67 to 1438 of the family's 1533-position model. Lineage: Bacteria; Bacillati; Bacillota; Bacilli; Lactobacillales; Lactobacillaceae. The record is from RNAcentral.